AACGAAAUUUCGGUUCAGUUUUCAUUGAUUUAAUAUUAUCCCUAAAUUUACCUUUUGAAGAUAUUUGUGUAAGAUAAUACAUAAUUAAGGAGGUGACUGUAAUUAUCCAAACAAUAGGAGAAUUUUCAUAAUUUAACAAUAAUUCAGGGGUGACCGUAAUUUACCCUAUUUAUCAUAGUAGAAAGAGAGAAGCAAAGAAUUGUCCCAUAAAUGAUAACAGUAAUAAUUAUACAGGGUACAAGUACAUCACAUCAAUCUCUGUAUAAAUAGAAGAAUAAAUAUCCGUAGCUCCGACAAACAAAAUCCCAGUAUAUAUAUAUAUAUAUAUAUAUAUAUAUAUAUAUAUAUAUAUAUAUAUAUAUAUAUAUGACAUGUGCGUAAAAAUAAUCAAUUAAAAUGCGCGUGGCAAGAAUCUGAAAUGAAACCCCACGCAGCGGCGGCCGGCGCCGCCGUAUAUAUAUGCGCUUAUAUUAUAUAUAUAUAGUGAUCAGUUCUUGUUGACGAGAGCCAAGAGAGAUAGCAGCAGCGAAGAAGCCACGAGCGCCGCAGAGACCGGCAGAGAGAACCCGGCACCGGCGUCAGGCGCCGGCGCCGGAGUAAGGCCGGAUCCACCUUGAGCAGCUGAAAGAGUAGUUCCGGCCAUGAUCACGGCCACAAACAUCAACACCACCAAAGCCAUCGAACUUGCCAUUUCUUCUUCACUAAGUAGUAAAAAUACAGAAUCUUUAAUUAAUUAUUUUCGAUAUAUAUGAUCGGAAGGUGUUUGCUCAAUUGCCUGAGAGACUGUGAAUUGUAUGUGUGUAUAUAUAUAUACACACGCACACAUAUGGGGGCUGUUUG
Molecule: long non-coding RNA, 840 nt
Filed under: Erythranthe guttata (spotted monkey flower)
Lineage: Eukaryota; Viridiplantae; Streptophyta; Magnoliopsida; Lamiales; Phrymaceae
Description: long non-coding RNA (EGUT_LNC002508)
Source: RNAcentral